Molecule: ribosomal RNA, 1448 nt
Filed under: uncultured organism
Description: 16S ribosomal RNA
Rfam family: Bacterial small subunit ribosomal RNA
Source: RNAcentral
ACGAACGCUGGCGGCGUGCUUAACACAUGCAAGUCGAACGGAAAGGCCCUGCUUUUGUGGGGUGCUCGAGUGGCGAACGGGUGAGUAACACGUGAGUAACCUGCCCCUGACUUUGGGAUAACUUCAGGAAACUGGGGCUAAUACCGGAUAGGAGCUCCUGCUGCAUGGUGGGGGUUGGAAAGUUUCGGCGGUUGGGGAUGGACUCGCGGCUUAUCAGCUUGUUGGUGGGGUAGUGGCUUACCAAGGCUUUGACGGGUAGCCGGCCUGAGAGGGUGACCGGCCACAUUGGGACUGAGAUACGGCCCAGACUCCUACGGGAGGCAGCAGUGGGGAAUAUUGCACAAUGGGCGGAAGCCUGAUGCAGCAACGCCGCGUGCGGGAUGACGGCCUUCGGGUUGUAAACCGCUUUCGCCUGUGACGAAGCGUGAGUGACGGUAAUGGGUAAAGAAGCACCGGCUAACUACGUGCCAGCAGCCGCGGUGAUACGUAGGGUGCGAGCGUUGUCCGGAUUUAUUGGGCGUAAAGGGCUCGUAGGUGGUUGAUCGCGUCGGAAGUGUAAUCUUGGGGCUUAACCCUGAGCGUGCUUUCGAUACGGGUUGACUUGAGGAAGGUAGGGGAGAAUGGAAUUCCUGGUGGAGCGGUGGAAUGCGCAGAUAUCAGGAGGAACACCAGUGGCGAAGGCGGUUCUCUGGGCCUUUCCUGACGCUGAGGAGCGAAAGCGUGGGGAGCGAACAGGCUUAGAUACCCUGGUAGUCCACGCUGUAAACGGUGGGUACUAGGUGUGGGGUCCAUUCCACGGGUUCCGUGCCGUAGCUAACGCUUUAAGUACCCCGCCUGGGGAGUACGGCCGCAAGGCUAAAACUCAAAGGAAUUGACGGGGCCCCGCACAAGCGGCGGAGCAUGCGGAUUAAUUCGAUGCAACGCGUAGAACCUUACCUGGGUUUGACAUGGAUCGGGAGUGCUCAGAGAUGGGUGUGCCUCUUUUGGGGUCGGUUCACAGGUGGUGCAUGGCUGUCGUCAGCUCGUGUCGUGAGAUGUUGGGUUAAGUCCCGCAACGAGCGCAACCCUUGUUCACUGUUGCCAGCACGUUAUGGUGGGGACUCAGUGGAGACCGCCGGGGUCAACUCGGAGGAAGGUGGGGAUGACGUCAAGUCAUCAUGCCCCUUAUGUCCAGGGCUUCACGCAUGCUACAAUGGCUGGUACAGAGAGUGGCGAGCCUGUGAGGGUGAGCGAAUCUCGGAAAGCCGGUCUCAGUUCGGAUUGGGGUCUGCAACUCGACCUCAUGAAGUCGGAGUCGCUAGUAAUCGCAGAUCAGCAACGCUGCGGUGAAUACGUUCCCGGGGCUUGUACACACCGCCCGUCAAGUCAUGAAAGUUGGUAACACCCGAAGCCGGUGGCCUAACCGUUGUGGGGGAGCCGUCGAAGGUGGGACUGGUGAUUAGGACUAA